Molecule: ribosomal RNA, 330 nt
Filed under: uncultured eukaryote
Lineage: Eukaryota
Description: partial 18S ribosomal RNA
Rfam family: Eukaryotic small subunit ribosomal RNA
Source: RNAcentral
CCCUUAGAUGUUCGGGGCCGCACGCGCGCUACACUGAAGGAAUCAGCACGUCUUUCUCCUUGUCCGAAAGGACUGGGUAACCCGCUGAACCUCCUUCGUGCUAGGGAUUGGGGCUUGUAAUUCUUCCCCAUGAACGAGGAAUUCCCAGUAAGCGCGAGUCAUAAGCUCGCGUUGAUUACGUCCCUGCCCUUUGUACACACCGCCCGUCGCUACUACCGAUUGGAUUGUUUAGUGAGAUCCUCGGAUUGGUCCCGGCGCGGCCUCUGGUCGUGCCGGAGUGCCGAAAAGAAUGUCGAACUUGAUCAUCUAGAGGAAGUAAAAGUCGUAACA